UGCAAAGGGCUGCAGAGAAGAGGCUGCUUUCAAAUCAAAAAAUGGCAAAAGUCAGUCUUUCUCAAAAAACUCAAUUUAGAGACGCUAAGUUGCUACUUGCAAUGAAGUACAAGGAACUGGAAAAACUUAGAAGCAUCAUCCAGGCCAAACAAGAACAACUUGUAGGAAAGCACAGUGUCCAUUAUUAUCAGCAGUGCCUCCUGAAGAAGAUAAAUCGUGCAGAGGAGGAGUGUGAGUGGGAUAUUUCUCCCAACAGCUGCUGUUUCAGAGGUUUGCGGAGGGGAAAACACCGGUGGCAGAUUUCUUGGAUUCCUUUCUCUCCCUGCAAAAACUCCAACACAUCAGGUUAGUCCUGGUGAAGAAACUCCAGGAAAUUACAGAACUCAGAUCAACACAAAGGAUCAGUGAGAUAAACCCCGAAACUCAGCAUUUCUCAGCAGGUUUUCCUGAGCAGAUCCGUAACAUAUGCCUCCCAGUCUGCGGCCUAACCACAGCUGUCAUCUUACCUACCUGCUGCCACCCUACGUUCCUGCUGCCCUUUGGCACCCAUGCCAACACUGUCCAUUGUCUACAGCAUUUGCCAUUUCGUCAUGAUUACAAUGAGUCCCUGCUUGCAAGAGUGCAUGGACGAAGCCCCAAAUGGCCAGGAAGACCCGUCCGUCUUCAGCCACUGAAGGUGCAACACAGCAGGCAUCAACAAGCACCACAAUGAAGUCUACUCCAGUCUCAGAUACAUGUUUUUCAUUUAAUGAAGGUUAACCCAGUGGGGG
Molecule: RNA transcript, 770 nt
Organism: Micropterus salmoides (largemouth bass)
Lineage: Eukaryota; Metazoa; Chordata; Actinopteri; Centrarchiformes; Centrarchidae
Exons: 3
Source: RefSeq, a predicted model, not a curated record